UUUAACAUUCAUCUUUUAGAUGUGAUUUAAUUUUUAUAUUCUUCCUUUUGAUACGCUCCAUUAAAUUUUAUAUUUUUUGGAUUUAAGUGUUUCAAAUUGUUUACUGUGAAAAAAUUAGAGUGUUCAAAGCAGGCGUAACCUAGCCUUUGAAUAUAUUAGCAUGGGAUAAUGAAAUAGGACUUUAAUCCUACUUUCGUUUGUCUAGGGCUAAAGUAAUGAUUAAUAGGGAUAGUUGGGGUCACUAGUAUUUAAUUGUCAGAGGUGAAAUUCUAAGAUUUAUUAAAGACUAACUACUGCGAAAGCAUUUGACAAGGAUGUUUUCAUUAAUCAAGAACGAAAGUUGGGGGAUCGAAGAUGAUCAGAUACCGUCGUAGUCUCAACCAUAAACUAUGCCGACCAAGGAUCCGAGGUUGUUAAUAUGGAUGACUCUUCGGGCACUUAUAGAGAAAUCAUAAGUAUUUGGCUCCGGGGGGAGUAUGGCCGCAAGGCUGAAACUUAAAGGAAUUGACGGAAGGGCACCACAAGGAGUGGAACCUGCGGUUUAAUUUGACACAACACGGGAAAACUUACCAGGUCCAGACACAGUGAGGAUUGACAGAUUGAGAGUUCUUUCUUGAUUCUGUGAGUGGUGGUGCAUGGCCGUUUCUAGUUGGUGGAGUGAUUUGUCUGGUUAAUUCCGUUAACGAACGAGACCUUAACCUAUUAAAUAGUUAUUUAAACUUGAUUUUUAAAAUCAAAUGUUUAAAAAACUUCUUAGAGGGACUCUUCACUGAGAGGGUGAAUGGAAGUUUGAGGCAAAAACAGGUCUGUGAUGCCCUUAGAUGUUCUGGGCCACACGCGCGUUACACUGACAUAUUCAACGAGCAUUAUCCUUACCCGUCGGGGUUGGGUAAUCUUUUAAAUGUAUGUCGUGCUGGGGAUAGAUCAUUGUAAUUAUUGGUCUUGAACGAGGAAUUCCUAGUAAGUGCGAGUCAUCAACUCGCGCUGAUUACGUCCCUGCCCUUUGUACACACCGCCCGUCGCUCCUACCGAUUGAAUGGUCCGGCGAGAACUCAGGAUGGAUAUGGAUUUUGGACACCGUUAGGUGCUCCAACCAUAUCCAGAAUUUGUUCAAACCUUACCAUUUAGAGGAAGGAGAAGUCGUAACAAGGUUUCCGUAGGUGAACCUGCGGAAG
Molecule: ribosomal RNA, 1175 nt
Filed under: metagenome
Description: SSU rRNA
Rfam family: Eukaryotic small subunit ribosomal RNA
Source: RNAcentral